This 242-nucleotide ribosomal RNA is filed under the name uncultured bacterium. Its description in RNAcentral is "partial 16S ribosomal RNA". It matches the Rfam family "Bacterial small subunit ribosomal RNA", at positions 15 to 244 of the family's 1533-position model. The record is from RNAcentral.
GAUCAUGGCUCAGGACGAACGCUGGCGGCGUGCCUAAUACAUGCAAGUCGAGCGAAGUUUUUCUGGUGCUUGCACUAGAAAAACUUAGCGGCGAACGGGUGAGUAACACGUAAAGAACCUGCCUCAUAGACUGGGACAACUAUUGGAAACGAUAGCUAAUACCGGAUAACAGCAUUAACCGCAUGGUUGAUGUUUAAAAGUUGGUUUUGCUAACACUAUGAGAUGGCUUUGCGGUGCAUUAG